This 236-nucleotide ribosomal RNA is filed under the name Torleya major. Its description in RNAcentral is "partial 28S ribosomal RNA". It matches the Rfam family "Eukaryotic large subunit ribosomal RNA", at positions 140 to 360 of the family's 3401-position model. Lineage: Eukaryota; Metazoa; Arthropoda; Insecta; Ephemeroptera; Ephemerellidae. The record is from RNAcentral.
GAAAUGUAGCGUAUAGGAGGGUCGUUACUCUCGGGGUUUGCGGCGGCCGGUCCAAGUCCCUCUUGAACGGGGCCAUGGUCCUGAGAAGGUGCCAGGCCUGUGGGACGGAUGCCGCCCCCGAGAAGACCGUCUCCUUGGAGUCGGGUUGCUUGAGAGUGCAGCCCUAAGCAGGUGGUAAACUCCAUCUAAGGCUAAAUACAACCACGAGACCGAUAGCAAACAAGUACCGUGAGGGA